CCACAAACAUCACAGAUGUGCAUAAGUCCCUUCCUUUUCUGUGGAAGAGAGCCCCUGGAGGAGGGACAUCACCCAGGCAUAACCACCUCAUGGAAAUCACCCAGGAAACUGCUUCUACUGAAUUGUGAAAAGACCCUGAAGAGGCCUGGCCCAAACAGGAAGAGGAGGAGGAGAACAGAGACAAGAGGUCUUGUUAAUGGAAGGAGCCAGGAGGCCCAGAAAGAUGUACAAGCUUCCCUUUUGGUCGUGAGAAGAUCAAAGUCCUUACGAUUUUGUUAAGGUGGAGUAACCUUUGAGAAGUGGAAGAGAAAGAAGGCAUCUUACAGUGAUGGGAAGCUGAUGAGCACACAUGCCCCAAUCUUGCCUCACGCCAUGGCCAAACUCGCUGACUGCCACGGGCAGGCUCAACUCACCCUGCUGUUAGCCCUGCUGCGGUGAAGGAGAAAACUGCUGUGGGCUGAGGACAGGGAAGGCCACUCUUGGGGCAGUGGUCAGCUGGCUCUCGUUUAUCUUUCUUUAUGGCUGAGUAGUACUCCAUUUUAUAGAAAAACCACAUCUUCAUAGCCAA
Non-coding RNA from Heterocephalus glaber (naked mole-rat), 568 nucleotides. Lineage: Eukaryota; Metazoa; Chordata; Mammalia; Rodentia; Bathyergidae. The record is from RefSeq and is a predicted model, not a curated record.